Molecule: transfer-messenger RNA, 354 nt
Filed under: Dehalococcoidales
Lineage: Bacteria; Bacillati; Chloroflexota; Dehalococcoidia
Also listed under: 1 other name
Description: MGML01 sp001796415 Standard tmRNA
Rfam family: transfer-messenger RNA
About the family: Bacterial tmRNA, also known as 10Sa RNA or SsrA, is named for its dual tRNA and mRNA-like properties. Its role is to liberate the mRNA from a stalled ribosome. To accomplish this part of the tmRNA is used as a reading frame that ends in a translation stop signal.
Source: RNAcentral
GGGGACGCGUGGUUCGACAGAGGAGGUUGGCGACAGAGCUGCAAGCCGAGGUGCCGUUGCCCUCGUAAAACUGAUGGCAAAAAACAAAUGCUGAAGAACCAGUAUUAGUUGCCGCUUAAUUAAUUAAGUGACACGUUCACCCCGUCCCCACCCCGACGGGAUGGGAGUGAGCGAAGAAAAGCCGGGGUGCUGUUGUCCUGACUCCGGUAUGGAUGACUUAAGAAAAAUCCGGAUGACCUGGUGGAACUCGGUCGGCAGAGGUCCGGCAGGUGAAACAAAGAGUCGACUAAGCUUGUAGUAAACUCUGAGCGGUUUCUUCUGGACGGGGAGUUCAACUCUCCCCCGUCUCCACCA